AGCAGCCGCGGUAAUUCCAGCUCCAAUAGCGUAUAUUAAAGUUGUUGCAGUUAAAAAGCUCGUAGUUGAAUUUCGGAAUCAAUGGAUCGGUCAUGCCACUCGGUGUGUACUGGUUUGAUUGGUUCUCACCUUCUAAGGAACCGUGAUGUCAUUAAUUUGGUGUCGCGGGGAAUUAGGACUGUUACCUUGAAAAAAUUAGAGUGUUUAAAGCAAGCUCACGCUUGAAUACAUUAGCAUGGAAUAAUGAAAUAGGACAUUGUAUUCUAUUUUGUUGGUUUCUAGGAUCGAUGUAAUGAUUAAUAGGGAUAGUUGGGGGCAUUAGUAUUCAAUUGUCAGAGGUGAAAUUCUUGGAUUUAUUGAAGACUAACUACUGCGAAAGCAUUUGCCAAGGAUGUUUUCAUUAAUCAAGAACGAAAGUUAGGGGAUCGAAGACGAUCAGAUACCGUCGUAGUCUUAACCAUAAACUAUGCCGACUAGGGAUCGGAUGAUGUUAAUUUUUAANGUACUCAUUC
This 512-nucleotide ribosomal RNA is filed under the name uncultured Glomus. RNAcentral describes it as "SSU rRNA". It matches the Rfam family "Eukaryotic small subunit ribosomal RNA", at positions 569 to 1081 of the family's 1831-position model. The record is from RNAcentral. Lineage: Eukaryota; Fungi; Glomeromycota; Glomeromycetes; Glomerales; Glomeraceae.